GACUUAGUCCUAACCUUACUGUUGGUUGUUGCUAGGUAUAUACAUGCAAGUAUCCGCGCUCCAGUGUAGAUGCCCUCAGUACCUCACACCCAGGUCAGUAGGAGCGGGUAUCAGGCUCACACCUCCCCACGUAGCCCAAAACGCCUUGCACUUGCCACGCCCCCACGGGUCCUCAGCAGUAAUUAAUAUUAAGCAAUGAGUGUAAACUUGACUUAGCCAUAGCAAUACAGGGUUGGUAAAUCUUGUGCCAGCCACCGCGGUCAUACAAGAAACCCGAAUCAACUUUACCUUAAAACGGCGUAAAGAGUGGUAACAUGUUAUCAAAGUACCUAAGAUCAAAACGCAACUGAGCUGUCGCAAGCCAAAGAUGCCCCUAAGGCCACCCCCUAAAAGAAGAUCUUAGAGCAACGAUUAAUUGAAAUCCACGAAAGCCAGGGCCCAAACUGGGAUUAGAUACCCCACUAUGCCUGGCCGUAAAUAUUGAUGCUUUAUAUAACCUGAGCAUCCGCCCGAGAACUACGAGCGCAAACGCUUAAAACUCUAAGGACUUGGCGGUGUCCCAAAUCCACCUAGAGGAGCCUGUUCUGUAAUCGAUGAUCCACGAUACACCCGACCAUUCCUUGCAGAAACAGCCUAUAUACCGCCGUCGCCAGCUCACCCUGAUUGAAGGCCCAACAGUGAACGCAAUAGUUUUUACCACACUAAAAAGACAGGUCAAGGUAUAGCCUAUGGAAUGGAAGCAAUGGGCUACAUUUUCUAGCAUAGAACAGCACGGC
RNAcentral lists this ribosomal RNA (776 nucleotides) under Manorina melanophrys. Its description in RNAcentral is "partial 12S ribosomal RNA". It matches the Rfam family "Bacterial small subunit ribosomal RNA", at positions 10 to 1255 of the family's 1533-position model. The record is from RNAcentral. Lineage: Eukaryota; Metazoa; Chordata; Aves; Passeriformes; Meliphagidae.